This 477-nucleotide long non-coding RNA is filed under the name Cavia porcellus (domestic guinea pig). RNAcentral's name for it is "lncRNA (ENSCPOG00000037664.1)". Lineage: Eukaryota; Metazoa; Chordata; Mammalia; Rodentia; Caviidae. The record is from RNAcentral.
AAGUUGGCAACAUGACAUUCCUUUGUUUUUGUAGCCAUCCUGGUAUGUACAGUCCUUCCUGUUUAGCUUAUGCCAGGAAAUGAAUCGGGUUGGAGGCCACACCCUGCCAAAAGUGACACUCCAGGAGAUGCUGAAAAACUGCAUGGUUCAAGUAAUCACUGCCUAUGAGAAACUUUCAGAAGGAAAGCAAAAGAACUGAGAAAGUGACUGAGCACUUGGAAGCUCUCAUCGACCCCUUUGACCUGGAUGUGUUCACACCGUACCUCAACAGCAACCUCCAUCUCCUGGUGCAGCGCACUUCCGUCCUGUUUGGAUUGGUUACUGGUACAGAGAACCAGGUCACCCCUCGGAGCAGUUCACUGAACUCCCAGGAAGCCCACAACAUACUGCCAUUGGCCUCGAGUCAGAUCAGGUUUGGCCUGCUUCCACUGAGCAUGACGAGCACACGGAAGGCUAAGUCAAGCACCACAGGCGUCG